UGCAUGCAAGUCGAGCGAAGCUUUUCAGUAGUUUACUACAGAAAAUGACUGAGCGGCGAACGGGUGAGUAACGCGUGAGCAAUCUACCUUAGUUACAGGGAUAGCCCGAGGAAACUCGGAUUAAUACCUGAUAUUCUUUAAAUUUCGCAUGAAAUUAAAAGGAAAGGUCAGCCGAACUAAGAUGAGCUCGCGUUCUAUCAGCUAGUUGGUGAGGUAAAAGCUCACCAAGGCAACGACGGAUAGCUGGUCUGAGAGGACGAUCAGCCACACUGGGACUGAGACACGGCCCAGACUCCUACGGGAGGCUGCAGCAGGGAAUAUUGCGCAAUGAGCGAAAGCUUGACGCAGCGACACCGCGUGUGGGAUGACGGAUCUAGGUUUGUAAACCACUUUCAGGAGGGAAGAAAAUGACGGUACCUCCACAAGAAGCCCCGGCCAACUACGUGCCAGCAGCCGCGGUAAUACGUAGGGGGCGAGCGUUGUCCGGAUUUAUUGGGCGUAAAGAGCUCGUAGGCGGUUCAACAAGUCGGUCGUAAAAGUUCAGGGCUCAACCCUGAAAUGUCGAUCGAUACUGUUGUGACUAGGAUACGGUAGAGGUGAGUGGAAUUCCGAGUGUAGCGGUGAAAUGCGUAGAUAUUCGGAGGAACACCAAUUGCGAAGGCAGCUCACUGGGCCGCUAUCGACGCUGAGGAGCGAAAGCUAGGGGAGCAAACAGGGUUAGAUACCCUGGUAGUCCUAGCUGUAAACGAUGGAUACUAGACGUAGGAACUGGAUUGACGGUUUCUGUGUCGUAGCUAACGCGUUAAGUAUCCCGCCUGGGGAGUACGGUCGCAAGACUAAAACUCAAAGGAAUUGACGGGACCCCGCACAAGCGGCGGAGCAUGCGGCUUAAUUCGAUGAUACCCGUAGAACCUUACCU
RNAcentral lists this ribosomal RNA (919 nucleotides) under uncultured marine bacterium. Its description in RNAcentral is "bacterial SSU rRNA". It matches the Rfam family "Bacterial small subunit ribosomal RNA", at positions 52 to 976 of the family's 1533-position model. The record is from RNAcentral.